CACUCCUCGGGAGGCAGCAGUGGGGAAUUUUGGACAAUGGGCGAAAGCCUGAUCCAGCAAUGCCGCGUGAGUGAAGAAGGCCUUCGGGUUGUAAAGCUCUUUUGUCAGGGAAGAAACGGUGAAAGCUAAUAUCUUUUGCUAAUGACGGUACCUGAAGAAUAAGCACCGGCUAACUACGUGCCAGCAGCCGCGGUAAUACGUAGGGUGCAAGCGUUAAUCGGAAUUACUGGGCGUAAAGCGUGCGCAGGCGGUUUUGUAAGUCUGAUGUGAAAUCCCCGGGCUCAACCUGGGAAUUGCAUUGGAGACUGCAAGGCUAGAAUCUGGCAGAGGGGGGUAGAAUUCCACGUGUAGCAGUGAAAUGCGUAGAUAUGUGGAGGAACACCGAUGGCGAAGGCAGCCCCCUGGGUCAAGAUUGACGCUCAUGCACGAAAGCGUGGGGAGCAAACAGGAUUAGAUACCCGGGUAGUCC
This 469-nucleotide ribosomal RNA is filed under the name uncultured organism. Its description in RNAcentral is "partial 16S ribosomal RNA". It matches the Rfam family "Bacterial small subunit ribosomal RNA", at positions 334 to 796 of the family's 1533-position model. The record is from RNAcentral.